UGCCGCACACCAUUUAGAUAGCAUUGGCUCGCCGCAGAGACGUCGCCGGCUCGCCACCCUGAGCUACAGAGGUGGCGGGAGCAGCGAAGGGGCCGAGCGCUGUCGUAUGUCGUGCGACGGCCACACCGCAGGUAGCCACUCACGGCAACUACGCGCACGCACGCACCGGCCACCGUCGCGCCGCGAGCUUCGCCUGGCUGUGCACUGCCGCAACCACACGUGAGUUCUUCCGACGCGCACCGCCCACAGUCGACCUGCGAGCCACACAUGCACCGCCGCGAAGUGCUGCUUGAUCCCCUCCAUGGACUCGUGCUCGCCAUUGCAGUCCGUCGCCCUGGCCACGAAGAGGGCCAAGAUCCAUGGAGCUGCUCGUGGGGUGAGCAUAUCGUCCUCGUGCUCCUCAAUUCUGCUGGGGUAUCCUUUGGGCUGGGUGGCAGAGAUGGCGAAUUCCUCCUCGCGUGUCUCAGGGUGGUACACCUCCUAUAUUUUGAGAAAUAAAACUUAUGGUUAUAUGAUAUCAUCUAAGGUGAAACGUUGAAAGGGCUCUUGGAUUGUAUGCCUCGCUCAGGUUGGUGCGGUCUUAUAUUUCAAGAAAUAAAAUCUUGUGGUUAUAUGCUAUCAGUUAAUGUGAACCCGUGAAAGGCCGCUUGAAUUGUAUGCCUCGCUCAGGCAAUGAAUCCUUUGUGCAGAGAGCUCUUCUUGAUGCCCCCAUAAGUAAUGAAUUUGCUACACAGCAAAAAAAAGUAGCUAUUUGUUUUA
Triticum dicoccoides is the source of this 759-nucleotide long non-coding RNA. RefSeq lists it as uncharacterized. The record is from RefSeq and is a predicted model, not a curated record. The transcript is spliced from 3 exons. NCBI's taxonomy places the organism in Eukaryota, Viridiplantae, Streptophyta, Magnoliopsida, Poales, Poaceae.